RNAcentral lists this ribosomal RNA (225 nucleotides) under Salmonella enterica. RNAcentral describes it as "partial 23S ribosomal RNA". It matches the Rfam family "Bacterial large subunit ribosomal RNA", at positions 1 to 217 of the family's 2925-position model. RNAcentral also lists the same sequence under 1 other name. Lineage: Bacteria; Pseudomonadati; Pseudomonadota; Gammaproteobacteria; Enterobacterales; Enterobacteriaceae. The record is from RNAcentral.
GGGUUGUGAGGUUAAGCGACUAAGCGUACACGGUGGAUGCCCUGGCAGUCAGAGGCGAUGAAGGACGUGCUAAUCUGCGAUAAGCGUCGGUAAGGUGAUAUGAACCGUUAUAACCGGCGAUUUCCGAAUGGGGAAACCCAGUGUGAUUCGUCACACUAUCGUUAACUGAAUACAUAGGUUAACGAAGCGAACCGGGGGAACUGAAACAUCUAAGUACCCCGAGGA